Molecule: long non-coding RNA, 1926 nt
Organism: Ailuropoda melanoleuca (giant panda)
Lineage: Eukaryota; Metazoa; Chordata; Mammalia; Carnivora; Ursidae
Exons: 2
Source: RefSeq, a predicted model, not a curated record
CCCCAACAUUGAGUUUCCCCGCCCCUGACACCGCCCUGGGUCUGAGACCCUGAGAGGCAGGUCCAGGGACCUGGGACUCUGCAGCGACCCGUCCCCUACUGCACAGCGCGCUCUUUGUCACAGUGUCUUCCUGAGUCGUGACCCAGGAACUGGGCAUUGUGACUGCUCUUGAGAGCAUCUCCCAAGAUAUUCACGUGACCAUAUGGUGGCUUGGAAAGAUGGCGGAAAGAGUGUUUCUAGUUUUCUAUGGAAGUAAGUAGUGGUGAAGAAUAACAGCUAUUGCAGUUUGCACCCAUCACCUCCAUUCUUGCUCAGUUUUACCUCCGUCACAAUGUCGACAUAGCGAAAAAGGAAAUAAUGUCUAAGUAAUGUUAGGAAAAUAGAUUUAACCUCAUGGAUUCUGUGAAAGGGCCUCAGUGAUAUCAGGUGUUCCAGGGAUCACACUUUGAGAACGGCUGCUCUGACUAUCCCUGGGAGAGUCUCCCAGCUGGUCCUUCCCUGGCCUCCUCUUCACUCAGCAGAAUCCCUUUCCCUAAGAUGCACUUGCUGCCUCUGAAAACUCAGCUCUGACUCUAGCCCCUGAGUGCGUCUAGAAGAGAACUCACCUCCUGGAAAUGUGAUGGCAGAGAGGGUCCCCAGUCUGGGAAGGGACGUGGAGGAACAGAGAUUUCCCUUUUGUUUGGAACAGUUUGUGCUGAAGGCACCAGACCCAUGCAUAAGCGACUUUGAUUUUGUGACACACCAGCCUCAUAUGUAUUCGCAUGCCAGAUGGAAUCUGAUGUCAUCUGUAGGAGAAAUCAUGUUGGUCUUUUCCCUUGACAUGUGUCUAGUGCAUCUGACUCAAGGCCCGCAAAGCACACAGAGCAGUACCGUCCAAUACAACAUUCUGUGCAGAGGGAAUUGUUCUGUGUCCCGCCGUCCAGUACAGUGGCCACGAGAUGCAUGUAGCUCUGGAGAUGCAGGGGGCACUUGAAAUGGGGCUGGUGAGCUGGGCAGCUGCAUUUAUAAUUGUUUUAAAUGAAUAGGAAGUUAAGUAGCCCUAGGUGGCUCGGAGCUACUAUUCAGACAGUAUGUAUCUAGAACGCCCUUAGUUUUCAGGAUUCUCCUCAAGGAAGAUACUGUGUGACUCAUAGGUGUAUGUGUAUUAAAUUUAUCUUCACAUGGAAGUCAUGGGUUUGUCUAUGUGGGUGUGAGAAAUAUCCUUAACAUACAGCAUGAAGGUUUAAUUACCAUGCAUUAUAACAGCUGAAGUGUACAGACAUUAACCGAAAUAUGAUGUAUCAGUCUAGGUCCUAAGUGUUGAAAAUGUCCAUCCCUGGAGCUAAUUAUUGUCUCUAUUACUUUGGGUGUCUUGGUGUUGGUUGCGUUCUCCUGGUAAACAUAAGGAGGCUCAUAAGUCUUCACUGAGCGCAGGUCGGAGGAUAUAUUGACUACAGCAUGUUCCUUGGAGGCUCUGGACAUCUUAUGGAUGUCAUAAAGCAGAAGAUGGACAUCUUAGAUUCCACCAACUUAUCAUCUUUUACCUCUUGCUUCUCUCCAUACUUUUGCCCAAAUGUAGACUAUUCUCCGUGUUUCCUUUCACCUUUGAAACCCUCUGCUCUUCAUUUCUACCCAGGGGAAAAUAUACAUAAAAUGUUUAUAAUUGGGGUGCCUGGGUAGCUCAGCCUUUAAGUGUCUGCCUUCGGCUCAGGUCAUGAUCCCAGGGUCCUGGUUUUGCGCCCCACAUCGGGCUCCUUGCUCGCCGAGAAGCCUGCUUCUCCCCAUCCCACUCCCCCUGCUUGUGUUCCCUCUCUCGCUGUCUCUCUCUGUCGAUUAAAUAAAUAAAAUCUUAAAAAAAAAAGAAAACCCAUGAAGAAAGACAUGAAAUUUCCGCAUGUCAACCACAUGCACACAAAGAUACAAACACUUGUCAUGAUCAAACUUAAA